UACGGAGGGUGCGAGCGUUGUCCGGAAUCACUGGGCGUAAAGGGCGCGUAGGUGGCGCGAGUAGUCAACGGUGAAAGCCCGGGGCUCAACCCCGGGUCGGCCGUCGAUACUCUCGUGCUUGAGCACUGCAGAGGCAGGUGGAAUUCCGGGUGUAGCGGUGGAAUGCGUAGAGAUCCGGAAGAACACCGGUGGCGAAGGCGGCCUGCUGGGCAGUAGCUGACACUGAGGCGCGACAGCGUGGGGAGCAAACAGG
Molecule: ribosomal RNA, 253 nt
Filed under: uncultured bacterium
Lineage: Bacteria
Description: partial 16S ribosomal RNA
Rfam family: Bacterial small subunit ribosomal RNA
Source: RNAcentral